This 465-nucleotide ribosomal RNA is filed under the name uncultured Klebsiella sp. RNAcentral's name for it is "bacterial SSU rRNA". It matches the Rfam family "Bacterial small subunit ribosomal RNA", at positions 338 to 795 of the family's 1533-position model. Lineage: Bacteria; Pseudomonadati; Pseudomonadota; Gammaproteobacteria; Enterobacterales; Enterobacteriaceae. The record is from RNAcentral.
CCUACGGGGGGCUGCAGUGGGGAAUAUUGCACAAUGGGCGCAAGCCUGAUGCAGCCAUGCCGCGUGUGUGAAGAAGGCCUUCGGGUUGUAAAGCACUUUCAGCGGGGAGGAAGGCGGUGAGGUUAAUAACCUCAUCGAUUGACGUUACCCGCAGAAGAAGCACCGGCUAACUCCGUGCCAGCAGCCGCGGUAAUACGGAGGGUGCAAGCGUUAAUCGGAAUUACUGGGCGUAAAGCGCACGCAGGCGGUCUGUCAAGUCGGAUGUGAAAUCCCCGGGCUCAACCUGGGAACUGCAUUCGAAACGGGCAGGCUAGAGUCGUGUAGAGGGGUGUAGAACUCCAGGGGGAGCGGUGACCUGCGUAGAGAUCUGGAGGAAUACCGGUGGCGAAGGCGGCCCCAUGGACAAAGACUGACGCUCAGGUGCGAAAGCGUGGGGAGCAAACAGGAUUAGAGAGCCUAGGAGGA